UUUACUUGGCGAGUUUGAUCCUGGCUCAGAGCGAACGCUGGCGGCGUACUUAACACAUGCAAGUCGAACGAGGAGCAUCUGUGUAGCAAUACAUAGGUGCUUCUAGUGGCGCACGGGUGAGUAACACGUGGGCAACCUGCCCUUGAGUCCGGGAUACCCUCUCGAAAGGGAGGCUAAUACCGGAUACGUUCCUCGGAUUGCGAAAUCUGGGGAGGAAAGGCGGCGAAAGCUGCCGCUCUUGGAGGGGCUCGCGGCCUAUCAGCUAGUUGGUGAGGUAACGGCUCACCAAGGCUAUGACGGGUAGCUGGUCUGAG
This 314-nucleotide ribosomal RNA is filed under the name Candidatus Rokuibacteriota bacterium. RNAcentral describes it as "bacterial SSU rRNA". It matches the Rfam family "Bacterial small subunit ribosomal RNA", at positions 1 to 296 of the family's 1533-position model. Lineage: Bacteria; Candidatus Rokuibacteriota. The record is from RNAcentral.